UUUAAGUGCAACCAUAAGUUUUUGCACCCAAUUUUGAUCGUCCGUCUUAUUUAAUUUUUUUUAUAAUUAGUAUUUUUAUUAUUAUUAGAUAAUAAAAUAUUAAUAAUACUUUAUACAUAACUUAUGUUUUUAAUAUUUUUUAAAUAAGAUGGAUGAUCAAAGAUGCACGAAAAAUUUUGACUGCACUUAAA
Oryza nivara is the source of this 191-nucleotide non-coding RNA. Lineage: Eukaryota; Viridiplantae; Streptophyta; Magnoliopsida; Poales; Poaceae. The record is from Rfam.